Molecule: non-coding RNA, 30 nt
Filed under: Mus musculus (house mouse)
Lineage: Eukaryota; Metazoa; Chordata; Mammalia; Rodentia; Muridae
Source: RNAcentral
UGUUGGCUGUAAGUUUGUCAUAUUAUGGUA